Molecule: ribosomal RNA, 251 nt
Filed under: uncultured bacterium
Lineage: Bacteria
Description: partial 16S ribosomal RNA
Rfam family: Bacterial small subunit ribosomal RNA
Source: RNAcentral
UACGUAGGUGGCAAGCGUUAUCCGGAUUUACUGGGUGUAAAGGGCGAGUAGGCGGGAUUGCAAGUCAGAUGUGAAAACUAUGGGCUCAACCGAUAGAGUGCAUUUGAAACUGCAGUUCUUGAGUGAUGGAGAGGCAGGCGGAAUUCCCGGUGUAGCGGUGGAAUGCGUAGAUAUCGGGAGGAACACCAGUGGCGAAGGCGGCCUGCUGGACAUUAACUGACGCUGAGGCGCGAAAGCGUGGGGAGCAAACA